GUUUUCGUGGUGUAGCGGUUAUCACAUCUGUCUAACACACAGAAGGUCCCCGGUUCGAUCCCGGGCGAAAACA
This 73-nucleotide transfer RNA is filed under the name bacterium. Its description in RNAcentral is "tRNA-Val". It matches the Rfam family "tRNA". From Rfam's summary of the family: Transfer RNA (tRNA) molecules are approximately 80 nucleotides in length. RNAcentral also lists the same sequence under 7 other names. The record is from RNAcentral.